AGGACGAACGCUGGCGGCGUGCUUAACACAUGCAAGUCACGGGGGCCCGCAAGGGUAACCGGCGAACGGGUGCGUAACACGUGAACAACCUGCCCUCGUGUGGGGGAUAGCCGGGCUAACGCCCGGGUAAUACCGCAUACGGUCAUCGAGAGGAGUCUCUUGGUGAAGAAAGCUCCGGCGCACGGGGAGGGGUUCGCGGCCUAUCAGCUAGUUGGCGGGGUAAUGGCCCACCAAGGCGACGACGGGUAGCUGGUCUGAGAGGAUGGCCAGCCACAUUGGGACUGAGAGACGGCCCAGACUCCUACGGGAGGCAGCAGUGGGGAAUCUUGCGCAAUGGCCGAAAGGCUGACGCAGCGACGCCGCGUGUGGGAGGACGCCUUUCGGGGUGUAAACCACUGUUGCCCGGGACGAAUAUCCUGUUUUGACAGGAUUGACGGUACCGGGUGAGGAAGCACCGGCUAACUCCGCGCCAGCAGCCGC
Molecule: ribosomal RNA, 480 nt
Filed under: uncultured bacterium
Lineage: Bacteria
Description: SSU rRNA
Rfam family: Bacterial small subunit ribosomal RNA
Source: RNAcentral